GACGAACGCUGGCGGCGUGCUUAACACAUGCAAGUCGAACGAAGAGCGAUGGAAGCUUGCUUCUAUCAAUCUUAGUGGCGAACGGGUGAGUAACGCGUAAUCAACCUGCCCUUCAGAGGGGGACAACAGUUGGAAACGACUGCUAAUACCGCAUACGAUCUAAUCUCGGCAUCGAGGAUAGAUGAAAGGUGGCCUCUACAUGUAAGCUAUCACUGAAGGAGGGGAUUGCGUCUGAUUAGCUAGUUGGAGGGGUAACGGCCCACCAAGGCGAUGAUCAGUAGCCGGUCUGAGAGGAUGAACGGCCACAUUGGGACUGAGACACGGCCCAGACUCCUACGGGAGGCAGCAGUGGGGAAUCUUCCGCAAUGGACGAAAGUCUGACGGAGCAGCGCCGCGUGAGUGAUGACGGCCUUCGGGUUGUAAAGCUCUGUUAAUCGGGACGAAAGGCCUUCUUGCGAAUAGUGAGAAGGAUUGACGGUACCGGAAUAGAAAGCCACGGCUAACUACGUG
This 510-nucleotide ribosomal RNA is filed under the name uncultured bacterium. RNAcentral's name for it is "partial 16S ribosomal RNA". It matches the Rfam family "Bacterial small subunit ribosomal RNA", at positions 28 to 507 of the family's 1533-position model. The record is from RNAcentral.